Molecule: long non-coding RNA, 3768 nt
Organism: Ostrinia nubilalis (European corn borer)
Lineage: Eukaryota; Metazoa; Arthropoda; Insecta; Lepidoptera; Crambidae
Exons: 2
Source: RefSeq, a predicted model, not a curated record
CCCAUGAGCGAGCUGCUGCUGCUGGCGGCGCUGUGCGCGGGCUGCUCCGCCGCGCACGUGUACUACGGCUCCCGCGUGGUGAGUACGGGCCGGUGCUGUGCGUCAGGUGUCGCCCAUGAGCGAGCUGCUGCUGCUGGCGGCGCUGUGCGCGGGCUGCUCCGCCGCGCACGUGUACUACGGCUCCCGCGUGGUGAGUACGGGCCGGUGCUGUGCGUCAGGUGUCGCCCAUGAGCGAGCUGCUGCUGCUGGCGGCGCUGUGCGCGGGCUGCUCCGCCGCGCACGUGUACUACGGCUCCCGCGUGGUGAGUACGGGCCGGUGCUGUGCGUCAGGUGUCGCCCAUGAGCGAGCUGCUGCUGCUGGCGGCGCUGUGCGCGGGCUGCUCCGCCGCGCACGUGUACUACGGCUCCCGCGUGGUACAAGAGAUGUGCGAUCAUUUCAACAUACAGUGUUUCCAUAUAAAGCCAAAGGUAACAUAAGUAUCGUAGAUUGUAUGAUGUUAUUUAGAACUCUCUUAUUCUUAUAACUUGUACUGUGUAUUGACUUUCUCCAUUUUAUCCCUACUUCCGUAGCCACAUAUACCUCAGAUUUAUUUUAAUUUAGGUAAUUUAUUGUUAACGUGGUUUUGGCGGUGAGGGUAUGAAUCUCAUUCAUAAUAUAUUUUAAGGGUAUGUGUGCGAUAGAGUUAAUCAAUAUUUUUUAUUGGCAGCUGUAUAAGCUAAUUAAUUAGUCAAAAACGCUGCUAACAUUCGAGUGGACCUCGACGUAGCUGAAUGUAUUCAAUAUAUUCUUAAAGAUUACAGAUCUACAAUUAUAUUUGCUCAUUUAAUUUUAAUGUUUAAUAAGGUUCGGUUAGGUAAUACUUCUUCCAAAUAUUAUUUUGUAACUAAAUAGGAGUAGGUUUAAUAUAAAUCAAAAACUGCCGUAUCUAACGAGUUUUGUGGAUUUUAUACAUUUAUGUAUGUUUAUUUACACAACUGAUUUGUUAUUAUUUAUUUUUAAUUUAGUUAAAUGAAUUUUAAAUCUUGUAAAUUGGUAGUAGUUGCCCUUUAGCAGGCUAAUACCCAAAUUAUGCGUGAUAUACUAUACCAUAUCUACAACUCUAAAAUUUCCAGUGGUUAGAAUAAUAAGAUUAUUUCCUAUUUUAUAAAACUGGUGUUACUAGUAAAACUAGUCAUGUUUUUUAAUAUUAUUGCCAUUUUUGCCAUAAGUAAUUGAUAUUAAAUAUCUGAAACCAAAUGUAAUGUUAUAAUAUUAUGACAAACAAUUUUAGUCAAUUUCUAUUCAAAAUCUGUAUUUUGGUAGAUUGUUGAUAUUUUAUACACUUUUGAUCUAACAUACUAUGACAGUUAUUUACUAUUUGUAUAUUUCUCAUCAAUAUUGUAUACUGUAUAUUUUGGAAUAACUCUUUUGUCUGAUUUGAUAGUAAUAUAAUUUUAAAUAAUUAAGUGACCAGUAAUAUUUUGAAAUAUUUGUUGUUUGUGAUUUACCUUAGUAACGGUUAUGGGCCUGUUUCACCUUCCAAAAUUACAACUCGAAUAUGUUACAAAAUUGGUUUGAAAACAAAUAGGUGUCACGUACAAAUCAUGCUAAAAUGAAAACACGCUUAUCUUCGCAGCGUCCUUAUUUCAAAGCAGGGAUGUUUCCGCACACAUUUUCCUAUUGACUCCAAACUAAAUACAAAACAUUAAGCAAUGUGAAGAAUAUGAAAUAUUUGUACAAAUACCUGGUAUUUCUUUCCACUAUCACUACAAAAAUUAACUUGGCCUAAAUCUGUCAUAGUCUAUCGAAGUUAAAGAACUAUCGUAAUUUUUAGUUGAAUUGCCGCAUUUCCCCGUCGUGAAACAGGCCUCGUUAUUGGUAGAUCACCUUUGUACUAAGCUACCUAAAGUCAGUUUUUCUCUUAGGUGGCGGAUAGAGUGAAGUAAAGAAUAUUUAAAUCUUCAAAAGUUACGGAACUAAAUUCCCGAUUUGACAUUUCUGUAAAAAAAAUAGAAUUUAUGUGUACUUACUUUUAUUUCUUCAAAAAUAAGCGUAAUUGAAACUUCAUGUGCCAGCCACCACAAGAAAAACUGAUAUAAUACUAUAACUGUUGUCUGUACUGUAAUACAGGGGGACUUUUAAAUCAUUGGCAUCCUUUUAAACUACUCUACUCCACUCAUGGUAAAUAGUACAUUUCCUGAAUAUGACACAAUUGACACAAAUCCAAUGAGUUUUUUGUCUUAAUUUUACUAUUUAUUUGUAUUAGUGUGAUCUUAUAAAGAGUUUAAAACGAUUGUAAAGUUAACAGCACAUUUUUGUUGCAUAUUAAGUAAUAUUAACACCUAAUACAUCGAAAUAAGAUGCCACAGUGUAAUGUUUUAAUUUUUGAAAUUAUAAAUCAUUGAAUUUGUCUCAUAUUCAGGGAAUGUACUAUGAACCAUGAGUAGAGUCUUAGUUUAAAAGGAUGCCAACGAUUUAAAAGUCAUCCUGUCUAAAGAUGUAGGUAACAUUUUUGCAUUUUAAAAGAAAAAUGAAGACUUAUAAAAUGGAGCAUUUAAAUUUAAGCUUGACCGCUGCUAGCGCGACAGCUAACGCCAUCAUCACCAUCACCAUAGCAUUAUAGACUCAUUAGUAACGAGUUGCGCUCACGGCGGUUAAUCUAUAGUAGAAUACUAUGCAUAGAAGGAUGUAAUAAGAAAUACAUUUUUUGUUAAACUUUUACAUACACACAACAUGAAUGUAUUGUGAUAAUUAUUUAAUAUCUGUUAAAAAAAUAAUGUAGUUAAAAUCAUUGUCACUUUUGAGGAGUUCUACAUAGGGUUACCUGUCUGCCCAGUACAACUAAGCAAUUAAAAAUAACAAAAGGUCUUAAGGUUCAUCAAUAUGUUACGAAUGGCAACCCUAGUUCUACAGUGGGCUUGAUUUUAAAAUGGCAUCCACAUAAUCAUGCUAAUUCAAUAACCGAAUUAAAAGCAUGCCAAGUGCGCCGGUUCUUUCAGGCAGCGGAUGUUUUUGUAUGGGUAUGGUUGGAUGGCGACGACGGAUGGUGUGCGCCAGCCACCUACAAAUCUGAAUCCGCUUAAGGGCGUAGCACAUUUAUCAACCCGGAAAGGGAUCGUAACUGUAUCAACUCGAGGCGGUCAGUAUUCUUUGUAUGAAACUCCAUACUUCAACGCACACUUAUCCGCACCGUAACGUAAACGCCUCGCCUCGCAAUUGACAGCGCACGGAACAGUAGCGGCGUAAGGGGGGCGGUGGGGGCGGUCCGCCCCGGGUGCCAAGCAUCAGGGGGUGACACAAGUCCCGCACUGGCGCGGAAGGCGAUGACAGCUCGUAAAAGGCGAUACAAGUGUUGAUGCCUCUAAUCCAUAUCUGUGGUUGAUCCCUUUCCGAGUUGAUAUGUCGACUUUACCAGAGUAAAUACAAAUGAGUAGGUUAUCUUCAUAGAAACGCACCGGGCGGGCGCGGUUUGUAUGGGAGCGCGCCAAUACGUAUGCGGCGCGCACGCAGACACUGACAAGACAAUUGCCCUUUAAAAAGAAUCGAGCCUAUUUUUAUAUGAGCCGGUACAAAGCCUUUUUAAUAAAUUGAUAGUUGAAGAGUGUCUGAAUAUUGUUAAAAUAUAAAAUGGACAAGAGACUGAGCUAAAUUUCUGCAGGAAAUACCUAUCAAUGUUUACGCCCUCUUUGGUAGGAAAGUCAAUGAUUAGGGUCUUAGGUGCCCCAAUGUGUAUUGUAUUAAACGUUUCCUGUUUUACUUCAUAUAAUUACACAAAUCCUAGCCAGAAA